GCAUCAUCAACCUCUUGGUCUUGCGACUGGAGAGGCUUGGACUUGGGGGUUUGCUGGCUUCGCGGUCGGCUCCUCUGGAAUGCAUUAGCGGUCGCUGGGGCGUCCUCGGUGUGAUAAGUAUUUCACCUUGGCGCGUCCUGUCGAGGCGGCUGCUUCCAACCGUCUUCGGACAACACUUUUGACA
RNAcentral lists this unclassified non-coding RNA (184 nucleotides) under uncultured Tubulicrinis. RNAcentral's name for it is "sequence contains ITS2". Lineage: Eukaryota; Fungi; Basidiomycota; Agaricomycetes; Corticiales; Corticiaceae. The record is from RNAcentral.